This 1678-nucleotide ribosomal RNA is filed under the name Saprodinium dentatum. RNAcentral's name for it is "SSU rRNA". It matches the Rfam family "Eukaryotic small subunit ribosomal RNA". The record is from RNAcentral. Lineage: Eukaryota; Ciliophora; Odontostomatea; Odontostomatida; Epalxellidae.
UGGUUGAUCCUGCCAGUUCAAUACGUUUGUCUCAAAGAUUAAGCCAUGCAUGUCUAAGUAUAAAUAGAUACCUUAAAACUGCGAAUGGCUUAUUACAUCAGUUAUAGUUUAUAUGAUAGAUUAAAAAUGGAUAACCGUAGAAAAUCUAGAGCUAAUACAUGCAAGAAGGCUCAACGCAAGUUGUGCUGUAUUUAUUAGAUACUAACCUUUGGUGAAUCAUAAUAACUUGGCGAAUCACAAUUUUUGUUGUGAUGCAUCAUUCAAGUUUCUGCCCUAUCAGCUCUCGAUGGUACUGUAUUGGACUACCAUGGCUUUUACGGGUAACAGGGAAUGAGGGUUCGAUUCUGAAGAAACCGCCUGAAAGACGGCGAUUACAUCUAAGGAAGGCAGCAGGCGCGUAAAUUACCCAAUCCUGAUUCAGGGAGGUAGUGACAAGAAAUACUAUGAGCCGAGAAAUCGGCCAAUGGAACGGACCGAAUUUAAAUGCUUCGGUGAAACAAUUGGAGGGCAAGUCUGGUGCCAGCAGCCGCGGUAAUUCCAGCUCCAAUAACGUAAUGGAAAUUUGCUGCAGUUAAAAAGCUCGUAGUUGAAUUUCAUGGCCUUUCAUACGCGCCAGCAACCUGGCGUCUUGAUAGGUCAUUCCGUCUGUUAACUUUCGUGGAUAUUUAGUUAUUACGAGAGAGCUCAGGCAUUUUACUGUGAGAAAAUUAGAGUGUUUCAGGCAGGCAAGGCUUGAAUAUAUUAGCAUGGAAUAAUGGAAUGGACUCAGUUUCUAUGGUUGGAUAGAGACUUAGCCACGGUUAAUAGGAACAGUUGGGGGCAUUAGUAUUUAAUUAUCAGAGGUAAAAUUCUUGGAUUUGUUAAAGACUAACGUAUGCGAAAGCAUUUGCCAAGGAUGUUUUCAUUAAUCAAGAACUUAAUCCAAAGGAUCAAAGAAGAUCAGACACCUUCGUAGUUUUGGAUAUAAACGAUAUCGACUUGGGAUUGGAGGAGUGUACCUUUUCCAGCACCAAAUGAGAAAUCAAAGUCUUUGGAUUCUGGGGGGAGUAUGUGCGCAAGCAUGAAACUUAAAGGAAUUCACGGGAGAGUAAACAAGAAGUGGAACCUGCGGCUUAAUUUGACUCAACACGGGAAAACUUACCAGUCCAAGACGUUGGGAGGAUUGACAGAUUGAUCGUUCUUUCUUGAUUCUAUGGGUGGUGGUGCAUGGCCGAUCUUAGUUGGUGGAGUGAUUUGUCUGGUCUAUUCCGAUAACGAACGAGACCUCCGUCGAUAACUAGUAAGGGUGAUUAAUCACUAUUUACUUCUUAUAGAGACUAUUCGCGUUAAGCGAGGGGAAGUGGAGGCAAUAUCAGGUCUGUGAUGCCCUUAGAUAGACUGGGCCGCACGCGUGUUACACUGAUGCAUACACCAUGCCACGGCCCCGAAAGGAAGCUGUUAAUCAGGAAUAUGCAUCGUGAUGGGAAUAGAUCUUUGCAAUUAUAGAUCUUGAACGAGGAAUUUCUUGUAAGCGUAAGUCAUUAGCUUGCGCUGAAUAAGUCCCUACUCUUUGUAGACACCGCCCAUCGCUUUCACAGAGUUAAUAAUCUCGCGAGCCGAUUGGAAUGUACAGGUUUCCUGCGACAUGAAUUUAUGCAAACGAUAUUAUUUCGAUGAGGAAGAAGUUGUAACAAGGUUU